RNAcentral lists this ribosomal RNA (305 nucleotides) under uncultured bacterium. RNAcentral describes it as "bacterial SSU rRNA". It matches the Rfam family "Bacterial small subunit ribosomal RNA", at positions 335 to 639 of the family's 1533-position model. The record is from RNAcentral.
UGCCUACGGGGGGCAGCAGUGAGGAAUAUUGGUCAAUGGGCGCGAGCCUGAACCAGCCAAGUAGCGUGAAGGAUGACUGCCCUACGGGUUGUAAACUUCUUUUAUAAAGGAAUAAAGUGAGGCACGUGUGCCUUUUUGUAUGUAUUUUAUGAAUAAGGAUCGGCUAACUCCGUGCCAGCAGCCGCGGUAAUACGGAGGAUGCGAGCGUUAUCCGGAUUUAUUGGGUUUAAAGGGUGCGUAGGCGGAAUAUCAAGUCAGCGGUAAAAAUUCGGGGCUCAACCCCGUCGUUCCGUUGAAACUGCUGU